RNAcentral lists this long non-coding RNA (1193 nucleotides) under Agrilus planipennis (emerald ash borer). RNAcentral's name for it is "uncharacterized LOC108739601, transcript variant X2". The record is from RNAcentral. Lineage: Eukaryota; Metazoa; Arthropoda; Insecta; Coleoptera; Buprestidae.
AUUGAAGAGAAAUUGAAAUUGUUUUGUUUUUUGUAUGAAAUGUCCAACAUACACGUAUGAUGUGUUUGUGUAUCAUAAUAACAAUAUGUGUCGUAUGUGUAAUGCUAAAUUGAAUAAGGAAAAUUAUUUCAAUAAUGACUAAUGACCUAACGAAUAUUUGACUGUGGUGGGUAUUAAUAGUAUAAUCUACAUUCUACAAAAUAGUCAUCGUUAUCGGAAACAGUUUAUUUGUUUAUGAAGUACCUAUGUGUACAUUUCGUUUCGCUUGCUCGUGACCUUGCUUCUGUUGUAGUGCGAAUUUCGACUUGGAUUUGAAUGAAAGAAAAUUAUACCUACAUAACUGAUUGCUAGGCAGUGAUUUAUUUUUCUCUUACUCAAUUAUACACUGGAACUAAAUGACAUGUGCUUGCAAAAUUAACAUUCACAGUAACCGAUGAUCACUAUCCCCCUACGAGCCCCUCCUUCUUCUUGCCGCUUUCACAGUCACCGAUCAUCGCCACCCCCCUACGAGCCUCUCUUUAAGUUAUCUUGCCACAGAUUCCGAUAAGUCUUACUGAAAAGCUUGACUAACGUUUAAUUUUUAUGCAUCAUACGUUUUCUAGACAGUAUUCGGUACGAUACCUUUCUAAGUAUAAUUUUCAUUAUUUUUACAGAUUUUACAGUCACUGAUGAUCUCCGCACCCCUACGAGCCUCUCCUUAAGUUGUCCUGCCACAAUUUCAGAUUUUACAGCCACUGGUGACCGCCGCCCCCCUACGAGCCUCUCUUUAAGUUGUCCUGCCACAAUUUCAGCCAGUGAUGAUCUCCGCCCCCUACGAGCCUCUCCUUAAGUUGUCCUGCCACAAUUUUAGAAUUUACAGCCACUGGUGAACGCCGCCCCCCUACGAGCCUCUCUUUAAGUUGUCCUGCCACAAUUUCAGAUUUUACAGCCACUGGUGAACGCCGCCCCUCUACGAGCCUUUCUUUAAGUUGUUCUGCCACAAUUUCAGAUUUUACAGCCACUGGUGAUCGCCGCCCCCCUACGAGCCUCUCUUUAAGUUGUCCUGCCACAAUUUCAGAUUUUACAGCCACUGAUGAUCGCCGCCCCCGUACGAACUACUGUUUGGCUAGCUUUGCCACUCAUUCCGAUUUCACAGUCAUUGAUCAUCGCCGCCCCCCUACGAGCUUAUGUUUAAGUUGCCCAGCCAUAAGUUC